This 220-nucleotide ribosomal RNA is filed under the name Shigella boydii. RNAcentral's name for it is "partial 16S ribosomal RNA". It matches the Rfam family "Bacterial small subunit ribosomal RNA", at positions 1 to 217 of the family's 1533-position model. Lineage: Bacteria; Pseudomonadati; Pseudomonadota; Gammaproteobacteria; Enterobacterales; Enterobacteriaceae. The record is from RNAcentral.
AAAUUGAAGAGUUUGAUCAUGGCUCAGAUUGAACGCUGGCGGCAGGCCUAACACAUGCAAGUCGAACGGUAACAGGAAACAGCUUGCUGUUUCGCUGACGAGUGGCGGACGGGUGAGUAAUGUCUGGGAAACUGCCCGAUGGAGGGGGAUAACUACUGGAAACGGUAGCUAAUACCGCAUAACGUCGCAAGACCAAAGAGGGGGACCUUCGAGCCUCUUG